GCCAGACUCCUACGGGAGGCAGCAGUGGGGAAUAUUGGGCAAUGGGCGCAAGCCUGACCCAGCAACGCCGCGUGAAGGAAGAAGGCUUUCGGGUUGUAAACUUCUUUUCUCAGGGACGAAGAAAGUGACGGUACCUGAGGAAUAAGCCACGGCUAACUACGUGCCAGCAGCCGCGGUAAUACGUAGGUGGCAAGCGUUAUCCGGAUUUAUUGGGUGUAAAGGGCGUGUAGGCGGGAGCGCAAGUCAGAUGUGAAAUCCCGCGGCUCAACCGCGGAACUGCAUUUGAAACUGUGCUUCUUGAGUGCUGGAGAGGCAGACGGAAUUCCUAGUGUAGCGGUGAAAUGCGUAGAUAUUAGGAGGAACACCAGUGGCGAAGGCGGUCUGCUGGACAGUAACUGACGGUGAGGCGCGAAAGCGUGGGGAGCAAACAGGAUUAGAUACCCCAGUAC
RNAcentral lists this ribosomal RNA (449 nucleotides) under uncultured bacterium. RNAcentral describes it as "bacterial SSU rRNA". It matches the Rfam family "Bacterial small subunit ribosomal RNA", at positions 330 to 793 of the family's 1533-position model. The record is from RNAcentral.